Hydra vulgaris (swiftwater hydra) is the source of this 709-nucleotide long non-coding RNA. RefSeq lists it as uncharacterized. Lineage: Eukaryota; Metazoa; Cnidaria; Hydrozoa; Anthoathecata; Hydridae. The record is from RefSeq and is a predicted model, not a curated record.
UCUUUUGUAAAAUAAAUAAAGUUUCGUAUAGGAUGUGUUGUUACACUACAAAUAACAUAAUGAUCAUUGUAUUUUAACAUUGUUUACAUCAAACAUUAAACAUUAAAUUGGUUUAAUGUUUAAAUUAGUUAAAGAAACUUAAAACCUAAGUUGGUAAAGAAUUAUAAAAACUAAUUUAUGGUAACUGAAGAGUGAUUGGUAUUGAUAAAAUAAAAAACUGAUAGAAAUGUUGGUUUGAUAGAAAGAGAAAUUUAUAAAAUUUCCAAAGAAAGCUGAAGAUUUCUGAAGAAAUCUGUUUUUCGACGCUAAAAAGAACCUACAAAAAAAUUAUCCAGUAUUACAUAAAAAAUUUGCUUUCGGAAUUGGGUCUUCAAGAGAGAUUAUAAAAACUAAUUUAUGGUAACAAAUUAAAUAAAAUUAAUGGUCUUGCAAAACAAUUCCAUGUAUCACAACCGUACAUAUGCAAAAUUAUUCACAAAAAAACUAAUUUUCGUUAUCUUAAAAAAACUACAACACCUAAAAGAACACCAACUCAAAAAGCAGCUGUUCGUUCAAAAUCUAGGUAAACUUAAAAAAUGGAUCGAGUUUUCAAUUAAGAAAAUCAACAUAGAACGUGUACAUCGGAUAGCAGCCGCAACAUUUACAAGAGUAGACACCGUUCGUCGUCAUGGCAUGAAAAACUUAUAACUUUUAAAAAUUUUAUUAUUUA